Molecule: ribosomal RNA, 1106 nt
Filed under: Clostridium botulinum C/D
Lineage: Bacteria; Bacillati; Bacillota; Clostridia; Eubacteriales; Clostridiaceae
Description: bacterial SSU rRNA
Rfam family: Bacterial small subunit ribosomal RNA
Source: RNAcentral
CCUGCCUCAAAGAGGGGGAUAGCCUCCCGAAAGGGAGAUUAAUACCGCAUAACAUUAUUUUAUGGCAUCAUAAAAUAAUCAAAGGAGCAAUCCGCUUUGAGAUGGACCCGCGGCGCAUUAGCUAGUUGGUGAGGUAACGGCUCACCAAGGCAACGAUGCGUAGCCGACCUGAGAGGGUGAUCGGCCACAUUGGAACUGAGACACGGUCCAGACUCCUACGGGAGGCAGCAGUGGGGAAUAUUGCGCAAUGGGGGAAACCCUGACGCAGCAACGCCGCGUGAGUGAUGAAGGUUUUCGGAUCGUAAAACUCUGUCUUUAGGGACGAUAAUGACGGUACCUAAGGAGGAAGCCACGGCUAACUACGUGCCAGCAGCCGCGGUAAUACGUAGGUGGCAAGCGUUGUCCGGAUUUACUGGGCGUAAAGAGUAUGUAGGUGGGUGCUUAAGUCAGAUGUGAAAUUCCCGGGCUCAACCUGGGAGCUGCAUUUGAAACUGGGCAUCUAGAGUGCAGGAGAGGAAAGUGGAAUUCCUAGUGUAGCGGUGAAAUGCGUAGAGAUUAGGAAGAACACCAGUGGCGAAGGCGACUUUCUGGACUGUAACUGACACUGAGAUACGAAAGCGUGGGUAGCAAACAGGAUUAGAUACCCUGGUAGUCCACGCCGUAAACGAUGAAUACUAGGUGUCGGGGGGUACCACCCUCGGUGCCGCAGCAAACGCAUUAAGUAUUCCGCCUGGGGAGUACGGUCGCAAGAUUAAAACUCAAAGGAAUUGACGGGGACCCGCACAAGCAGCGGAGCAUGUGGUUUAAUUCGAAGCAACGCGAAGAACCUUACCUAGACUUGACAUCUCCUGAAUUACUCUUAAUCGAGGAAGUCCCUUCGGGGACAGGAAGACAGGUGGUGCAUGGUUGUCGUCAGCUCGUGUCGUGAGAUGUUGGGUUAAGUCCCGCAACGAGCGCAACCCUUAUUGUUAGUUGCUACUAUUAAGUUAAGCACUCUAACGAGACUGCCGCGGUUAACGUGGAGGAAGGUGGGGAUGACGUCAAAUCAUCAUGCCCCUUAUGUCUAGGGCUACACACGUGCUACAAUGGCUGGUACAACGAGCAGC